Molecule: long non-coding RNA, 797 nt
Organism: Ornithodoros turicata
Lineage: Eukaryota; Metazoa; Arthropoda; Arachnida; Ixodida; Argasidae
Exons: 5
Source: RefSeq, a predicted model, not a curated record
UUGUUACAUUCACGUGUUGUAUGACCGGGACGGUUGUCCACGUGAUUGCAACGGCCGUGCAAUUUCGUACGGCCUUCGUCUGGUAGUCUUGUUGGGCAGUGCCAACGAUGCCGGAAGACACUGGCCAGGACUUCGCGGGAAAUGUCCAAGUUUAACGAUUCCAGGACUGCGAACUUCCGGUGCGGAACGCGGGCAGGUCGGCGGCAAGACGCGAGAACUCGGAGCUCUGUAGGCAAGGAGACAAUGAGAUCUCGGAUCUGCCUACCACAGGGAAGGCGACAUUGCAUUCCAACAUGGAAGGAUCACCAAAGCUGACAUACCCAUCGUCAAUGUGUCUCGCCACCGUGUGAGGAGAAACUCUGGUCGGAAAGUACUGCACAAAGAAAGGAUAUGCGAAGGAAUGAUGUCUCCCUCUAUUGUGACGCGGGGCUGAGCGGUCACUUUCGUUACGGCCAUUACCCAGUGUUUGUUGUGCAUUGUCCAGCGACGAACCUGUUGCGUUCUCAGGAUGGGUGGACCUGUGCUUGCGCAGUAUGGCGAGGACACCACGACCAAAUGUGUCCCGUGCAGUGGCGCUGCUGUGCAAGGACCCCGUGUAUAUCGUGGUGAAACUGCGGGACUACAACAACGGCUUGCAACAUCAGGCCGUCCAGUUCUCCAGCCCCAGCAAACGAAACAUUGUAACAUCGAUCUGCUGCUGAACGGAGCUACUGAUCAAUAUUUUCUGUGCUACUCCAGUGAGGUGUCACCCCCGUACAAAAUGCUACGUUUGUUUAAUAAAACUUUGUUCUACGAGA